This 203-nucleotide ribosomal RNA is filed under the name uncultured archaeon. RNAcentral describes it as "partial 16S ribosomal RNA". It matches the Rfam family "Archaeal small subunit ribosomal RNA", at positions 526 to 725 of the family's 1478-position model. The record is from RNAcentral.
UGGCCGCACAAGUCCAUCGGGAAAUCCACCCGCUCAACGGGUGGCCGUCCGGUGGAAACUGCACGGCUUGGGACCGGAAGGCGCGACGGGUACGUCCGGGGUAGGAGUGAAAUCCCGUAAUCCUGGACGGACCGCCGAUGGCGAAAGCACGUCGCGAGAACGGAUCCGACCAUCGUGAGGGACGAAAGCCAGGCUCUCGAACC